ACCUCAUCCUCUCGCUCGCCUCUCACCUGCCUCGCCUCUGUCUCUCGCUCGCGCCGUUGCAUCCUUUCUCCGGCGAGCCCCACCACUAGCCACGCGAGGAGCUGCAACCGGAGGGCGGAGGAGUUGCUACCGGCCACUCGGGGAGCUCGACCGGCGGGCAGAGGAGCUACAAGCCGGGAACUAAACCGACGACCGCCGUGGUGGAUUCAGCACGCCGGGGUGCUGCAACCGGCAGAUCAAAUAGCUACAACUACCUUUUGUUUUUGCUGGGACCGGUGAGAAAUUUUGCUGCGACCAUCGACGCUCCGGCAAAAGCAGCAUCUGCUCGCCGUGGAUACGCGCGCAGCUCGUGCUCUGCCCCAACAGCACGAUGCGUGCAGCUCUGGUGAGGGGCAGCAUCUACUCGUGUGCGGCCCUUCCCCAACAGAUGGCUUGUCGCGGAUGACGAUCUGCGCGCUCCGCUCCACUCGCAGGAGAGAGGGCAACCACCAUCAGAAGAUGCUUCAACCUCGGCGCGGCGGAGCUACAAGUGUAGGUCCAGGAGCUGCAACCAGCCAGACAAAUGAUGGAACCGGGGACGACCCGUGUUGUGUCGGCGACGGCGAAGGUCCACCAUUGCUGGAACCAGCUACAUUUUUUGCUGGAACUACCAUUAAUUUUUGCUGGAACUGGAUUUUUUUGUUGCUACAAUCAACUAGUGUGUUUGCUGCUGAGUUUUUUUGCUGGAACCAGCAUUUGUGUUUGCUGGAACUGGCUUUUUUGUUUGCUACAAUCAUCUUUCUCAGAUUUGUACUGCUGAGAUUAUUUUUGCUGGAAACGUCAUCAAUUUUUGGUACCA
Molecule: long non-coding RNA, 838 nt
Organism: Triticum dicoccoides
Lineage: Eukaryota; Viridiplantae; Streptophyta; Magnoliopsida; Poales; Poaceae
Exons: 2
Source: RefSeq, a predicted model, not a curated record